This 341-nucleotide long non-coding RNA is filed under the name Ananas comosus (pineapple). RNAcentral describes it as "long non-coding RNA (ACOM_LNC006943)". Lineage: Eukaryota; Viridiplantae; Streptophyta; Magnoliopsida; Poales; Bromeliaceae. The record is from RNAcentral.
UAUAUAUAUAUGUCACGCCCUGAAUUACACGCUUUUCGGGCACGCCGAUAAAUUCACAGUAUAUAAAAAAAAAUUUUCUGUAUACGAAGCGAUAGCUGUACGUGUAAAACAUACAAUACUACAAACAGUAGUAUAGAGCUGCCAAAAGAACCAGUAACUAAAAACAAACUGAGUUUUAUAUACAUACGUCAAAUCCAAGAAACAAAACUACUUGCACUGGCGAGUUAAAUGUCUGUAUGUACAUGAACUCCAACGAGAAACAACUACAUGCUGUAGCGGCACCUCUAGCUCGGCUCGUCUGGUAGGGCUCUAACUCGCGACGCCCUUGCCUCGAUCCUAAU